Molecule: ribosomal RNA, 478 nt
Filed under: uncultured bacterium
Lineage: Bacteria
Description: partial 16S ribosomal RNA
Rfam family: Bacterial small subunit ribosomal RNA
Source: RNAcentral
GACGAACGCUGGCGGCGUGCUUAACACAUGCAAGUCGAACGGUAAGGCCCUUCGGGGUACACGAGUGGCGAACGGGUGAGUAACACGUGGGUGAUCUGCCCUGCACUUCGGGAUAAGCCUGGGAAACUGGGUCUAAUACCGGAUAGGACCACUGCCUGCAUGGGUGGUGGUGGAAAGCUUUUGCGGUGUGGGAUGGGCCCGCGGCCUAUCAGCUUGUUGGUGGGGUGAUGGCCUACCAAGGCGACGACGGGUAGCCGGCCGGAGAGGGUGGCCGGGCACAGUGGGACUCGGACACGGCCCAGACUCCUACGGGAGGCAGCAGUGGGGAAUAGUGCACAAUGGGCGGAAGGCUGAGGCAGCGACGCCGCGUGAGGGAUGACGGCCUGCGGGUUGUAGACCUCUUUCAGCACCGACGGAGCGCAAGUGACGGUAGGUGCAGAAGAAGGACCGGCCAACUACGUGCCAGCAGCCGCGGUAA